AAGUCUCCGAUGCACUCAGGCAUUUAAUGAACACGACCCAAGACGAUCUCCGGAUCACUGAACCAUCAGAGCGUAUGGCUCUACCUGACCGCCGGUUCAUUCGGUAAUAAAUGCACUUACCAUCCACAGACCCCAGGCCCGCUACGGCCGGCGGUUCAACCACUCCAACAGGUCCGAUCGACCGUGACAACUCCCUGGUUCCGGUCUGAUUCGGCCCCGUUCUCCACUAUGCCAUAAAUGGGCCAAAU
RNAcentral lists this long non-coding RNA (248 nucleotides) under Phoenix dactylifera (date palm). Its description in RNAcentral is "long non-coding RNA (PDAC_LNC008631)". Lineage: Eukaryota; Viridiplantae; Streptophyta; Magnoliopsida; Arecales; Arecaceae. The record is from RNAcentral.